Non-coding RNA from Ramularia collo-cygni, 72 nucleotides. The record is from the annotation of a RefSeq genome assembly. Lineage: Eukaryota; Fungi; Ascomycota; Dothideomycetes; Mycosphaerellales; Mycosphaerellaceae.
GGUUCCAUGGUGUAAUGGUAGCACGCUUGGGCUAUUGUCCCAGUAGAGGGGGUUCGAUUCCUUCUGGAACCG